ACGAACGCUGGCGGCGUGCUUAACACAUGCAAGUCGAACGGAAAGGCCCCUUUGGGGGUACUCGAGUGGCGAACGGGUGAGUAACACGUGAGUAACCUGCCCUUGACUUCGGGAUAACUUCAGGAAACUGGGGCUAAUACCGGAUAGGAAUCCUUGCUGCAGGGUGGGGGUUGGAAAGCUUCGGCGGUUUUGGAUGGACUCGCGGCUUAUCAGCUUGUUGGUGGGGUAGUGGCUUACCAAGGCUUUGACGGGUAGCCGGCCUGGGAGGGCGACCGGCCACAUUGGGACUGAGAUACGGCCCAGACUCCUACGGGAGGCAGCAGUGGGGAAUAUUGCACAAUGGGCGGAAGCCUGAUGCAGCAACGCCGCGUGCGGGAUGACGGCCUUCGGGUUGUAAACCGCUUUCAGCAGGGGCGAAGCUUGUGGUGACGGUACCUGCAGAAGAAGCACCGGCUAACUACGUG
RNAcentral lists this ribosomal RNA (464 nucleotides) under uncultured bacterium. RNAcentral's name for it is "partial 16S ribosomal RNA". It matches the Rfam family "Bacterial small subunit ribosomal RNA", at positions 29 to 507 of the family's 1533-position model. The record is from RNAcentral.